GAUGAAGAACGCAGCGAAACGCGAUAGUUAAUGUGAAUUGCAGAAUUCAGUGAAUCAUCGAGUCUUUGAACGCACAUUGCGCCCCCUGGUAUUCCGGGGGGCAUGCCUGUCCGAGCGUCAUUGCUGCCCUCAAGCACGGCUUGUGUGUUGGGCCUCCGUCCUCCUCCCGGGGGACGGGCCCGAAAGGCAGCGGCGGCACCGCGUCCGGUCCUCGAGCGUAUGGGGCUUCGUCACCCGCUCUUGUAGGCCCGGCCGGCGCUUGCCGACACAUCAAUCUUUUUUCCAGGUUGACCUCGGAUCAGGUAGGGAUACCCGCUGAACUUAAGCAUAUCAAUAAGCGGGGA
RNAcentral lists this unclassified non-coding RNA (344 nucleotides) under soil metagenome. Its description in RNAcentral is "partial contains 5.8S ribosomal RNA, internal transcribed spacer 2, and large subunit ribosomal RNA". The stretch from base 1 to 120 matches the Rfam family "5.8S ribosomal RNA", at positions 35 to 154 of the family's 154-position model. The record is from RNAcentral.